This is a small nuclear RNA of Fukomys damarensis (Damara mole-rat), 126 nucleotides long. Its record names the gene U4. It matches the Rfam family "U4 spliceosomal RNA". From Rfam's summary of the family: U4 small nuclear RNA (U4 snRNA) is a component of the major U2-dependent spliceosome. The structure of U4 snRNA from yeast and human has been reported. Lineage: Eukaryota; Metazoa; Chordata; Mammalia; Rodentia; Bathyergidae. The record is from Ensembl.
AGCUUUGCACAGUGGCAGUAUCGUAGCCAAUGAGGUUUAUCCGAGGCGCGAUUAUUGCUAAUUGAAACUACUUGAUCUUACAAUUACUGUUGGAAUACAGACCAUGUAUGGAUAAAUCUUAAGUUU